Molecule: non-coding RNA, 81 nt
Filed under: Cupriavidus sp. HPC(L)
Lineage: Bacteria; Pseudomonadati; Pseudomonadota; Betaproteobacteria; Burkholderiales; Burkholderiaceae
Description: Burkholderia RNA 7 (anti-hemB)
Rfam family: Burkholderia RNA 7 (anti-hemB)
About the family: This RNA motif was identified by computational search in b-proteobacteria Burkholderia. Co-purified with Hfq, expression confirmed by Northern blot.
Source: Rfam by way of RNAcentral
UCCCCCGCUACUCCUCCCUGAGCGGGUACCCGCCUCGCGGCGGGAAUAUUCCCCCCCGUUGCUUGCAGCGGGGUUUUUUUU